GGUAGCAUAAUCAGUAGUCUUUUAAUUGAAGGCUGGAAUGAAUGGUCGCAUAAAAGAUGAGCUGUCUCUUUUGUAAAUCUUGAAUUUAACUUUUCGGUGAAAAGGCCUAAAUGAACUGGAGGGACGAUAAGACCCUAUAAAACUUAACAUAAAUCUUAUUAGGUAGUGAAUUAUUAAUAAUACAAUCUUUUAUAGUUUAUGUUGUAUUGGGGCGAUACAGAUAUAAAAUUUAAGUAACUGUCUUGAAAAAUUUAUAAUAAUACUUGAUCCUUCUUUGAAGAUUAAAAGAAUAAGUUACUUUAGGGAUAACAGCGUAAUUUUCUCUGAGAGUUCUUAUCGACGAGUGUAGUUGCGACCUCGAUGUUGAAUUAAAAUUUUUGUUAGAUGUAGCAGUUUAACCGGUGGGUCUGUUCGACCUUUAAAAUUUUACAUGAUUUGAGUUCAAACCGGUGUGAG
Molecule: ribosomal RNA, 456 nt
Filed under: Anchistioides antiguensis
Lineage: Eukaryota; Metazoa; Arthropoda; Malacostraca; Decapoda; Anchistioididae
Description: partial 16S ribosomal RNA
Rfam family: Bacterial large subunit ribosomal RNA
Source: RNAcentral